RNAcentral lists this ribosomal RNA (840 nucleotides) under uncultured bacterium. RNAcentral's name for it is "bacterial SSU rRNA". It matches the Rfam family "Bacterial small subunit ribosomal RNA", at positions 51 to 890 of the family's 1533-position model. The record is from RNAcentral.
ACACAUGCAAGUCGAACGGAGUUUACAGGCAGAAGUUUUCGGAUGGAAGCUUGUAAACUUAGUGGCGGACGGGUGAGUAACACGUGAGCAACCUGCCUAUCAGAGGGGGAUAACGAUUGGAAACGAUCGCUAAUACCGCAUGACAUAGCGGAACCGCAUGGUUCUGUUAUCAAAGAUUUUAUCGCUGAUAGAUGGGCUCGCGUCCGAUUAGAUAGUUGGUGGGGUAACGGCCUACCAAGUCGACGAUCGGUAGCCGGACUGAGAGGUCGAACGGCCACAUUGGGACUGAGACACGGCCCAGACUCCUACGGGAGGCAGCAGUGGGGGAUAUUGCACAAUGGGGGAAACCCUGAUGCAGCGACGCCGCGUGAGGGAAGACGGUCCUCUGGAUUGUAAACCUCUGUCUUCGGGGACGAAACGAGACGGUACCCGAGGAGGAAGCCGCGGCUAACUACGUGCCAGCAGCCGCGGUAAUACGUAGGUGGCAAGCGUUGUCCGGAAUUACUGGGUGUAAAGGGAGCGUAGGCGGGCAGGCAAGUCAGGCGUGAAAUAUAUCGGCUCAACCGGUAACGGCGCUUGAAACUGCAGGUCUUGAGUGAAGUAGAGGUUGGCGGAAUUCCUAGUGUAGCGGUGAAGUGCGUAGAUAUUAGGAGGAACACCAGUGGCGAAGGCGGCCAACUGGGCUUUUACUGACGCUGAGGCUCGAAAGUGUGGGGAGCAAACAGGAUUAGAUACCCUGGUAGUCCACACCGUAAACGAUGAUUACUAGGUGUGGGGGGACUGACCCCUUCCGUGCCGGAGUUAACACAAUAAGUAAUCCACCUGGGGAGUACGGCCGCA